RNAcentral lists this ribosomal RNA (298 nucleotides) under Enterococcus faecium. RNAcentral describes it as "partial 23S ribosomal RNA". It matches the Rfam family "Bacterial large subunit ribosomal RNA", at positions 2624 to 2925 of the family's 2925-position model. The record is from RNAcentral. Lineage: Bacteria; Bacillati; Bacillota; Bacilli; Lactobacillales; Enterococcaceae.
AGACAGUUCGGUCCCUAUCCGUCGCGGGCGUUGGAAAUUUGAGAGGAGCUGUCCUUAGUACGAGAGGACCGGGAUGGACUUACCGCUGGUGUACCAGUUGUUCUGCCAAGGGCAUUGCUGGGUAGCUAUGUAGGGAAGGGAUAAACGCUGAAAGCAUCUAAGUGUGAAGCCCACCUCAAGAUGAGAUUUCCCAUUUCUUUAAGAAAGUAAGAUCCCUGAGAGAUGAUCAGGUAGAUAGGUCAGGAGUGGAAGUACAGUGAUGUAUGGAGCGGACUGAUACUAAUCGAUCGAGGACUUA